RNAcentral lists this non-coding RNA (1082 nucleotides) under Drosophila virilis. Its description in RNAcentral is "Eukaryotic large subunit ribosomal RNA". It matches the Rfam family "Eukaryotic large subunit ribosomal RNA", at positions 1942 to 2671 of the family's 3401-position model. Lineage: Eukaryota; Metazoa; Arthropoda; Insecta; Diptera; Drosophilidae. The record is from Rfam by way of RNAcentral.
AUAGGGUUAGAAGAAUGAGUGAGUUUGCUAGAGCUGCUUUUCCAGGCGACGUUUGCAAUUGCAGAAUGGAAUUGUAUGAAUGAUGAUGGAUGGUAGAUGUGAGAAUGUGGGGGUACGAAUGUGGGGGUGUUUCUGAAUGGUAAUUUUUGUUGAACAUUGUGUUGUGAUGGGGCUACCAACCCUUAACUGUUUUGGAGUUUAAAUUGGAAGUGCCCUUCUGGUACGAGGCCUGACCGGAGGCUUUUAAUCUGGUACCACGGGUAACCAGGAGCCCACGGAACUGUUCCGUCCUGGUUAGUUGGUGCGGCCCUUCGGGGAGUAUCGUGGUGGUUGUGGUUUAACACCCAAAUGCGGGUAGAGCAUCGCUCGACGUGGAGUUGCGUUAUACAACCGGGUUCCGUGACCCAGAUUACGGAAGAGGCUUAGAUAGUCCUCGUGCCAAACCAAGGUAGAAGUCACAACCAAACAGUCGUGUCUUUAAUUGGUACCUGCGGAAUUGUUCCAAGGGGGCGGUGAUUGACGCUUGAAUUAAUCCUAUACUAGGAACCGUGAGAUUAAGCCAUCGCGGCAGGUGCUCACGUUAAGCCCACUGACUUUCAUGUCCCUAUCUACUAUCUAGCGAAACCACAGCCAAGGGAACGGGCUUGGAAUAAUUAGCGGGGAAAGAAGACCCUUUUGAGCUUGACUCUAAUCUGGCAGUGUAAGGAGACAUAAGAGGUGUAGAAUAAGUGGGAGAUAUUAGACUUCGGUUUGGUAUCGACAAUGAAAUACCACUACUCUUAUUGUUUCCUUACUUACUUGAUUAAAUGGAACGUGUAUCAUUUCCUAGCCAUUAUACGGAUAUAAUUAUUAUGUCUUAUGGUAUUGGGUUUUGAUGCAAGCUUCUUGAUCAAAGUAUCACGAGUUUGUUAUAUAAUCGCAAACAAAUUCUUUAAUGAGAGAAUGCAUUUAUGUAUUAUUGAUUUAAAAAUUUGGUAUAACUCCAAUUACUCAGGUAUGAUCCAAUUCAAGGACAUUGCCAGGUAGGGAGUUUGACUGGGGCGGUACAUCUCUCAAAUAAUAACGGAGGUGUCCCAAGGCCA